CCCUUAGAUGUCCGGGGCCGCACGCGCGCUACACUGAAGGAAUCAGCGUGGCUUUCUCCCUGACCCGAAAGGGUUGGGAAACCCGUUGAAUCUCCUUCGUGAUAGGGAUUGGGGCUUGAAAUUGUUCCCCAUGAACGAGGAAUUCCCAGUAAGCGCGAGUCAUAAGCUCGCGUUGAUUACGUCCCUGCCCUUUGUACACACCGCCCGUCGCUACUACCGAUUGAACGGUUUAGUGAGCGCCUCGGAUUGGUCUCGGCCCGCUCUUUACCGGGCGGCGCCGUUGGUCGAGAAGACGCUCGAACUUGAUCGUUUAGAGGAAGUAAAAGUCGUAACA
Molecule: ribosomal RNA, 334 nt
Filed under: uncultured eukaryote
Lineage: Eukaryota
Description: partial 18S ribosomal RNA
Rfam family: Eukaryotic small subunit ribosomal RNA
Source: RNAcentral